UCUCUUUAAAAUGGAUACGAGGUGACUUGGCUGUGUUCCCGAUCCUAAUAUGACAGGGGAUGCUUUCUGGCAGAAUGUGGUCCUGUCUUUGUCCGGCAUGAUCCAGUAAGAAGAGGCAGAUGUCGUUUGCUGUUAAAAAACCGAUCAGGUGGAUUCCUAGAAUAGGAAAGUUAACUGCUGUUAUCUUAAAACAACAUCGAAGUUGAAUCCCGAAAACCGCUGUAACAAGGAAAUUCUGCAGCUUGCAGAAGGACAAGCAGAAAGAUAUGAAGGCGUUAAAGACACAGCAUUAGUAUACGAUUAGGUUAGGAUCAGUGGAACCAGCAUCACUGUUCAUGUAAACCAUUAUCUCCAGCUUGAGGAAAUUAUUACAGUUAGAACCGACAUUAAUCGAGGAGGGGAUAGCAACAAGCAGACAACACUGAAUUCCUGAUCUGAAGGUCAAUAGGAGCGCUUUCUGGCAGGGUGUGGUCUUGGGUUGUCCGGCAUGAACCUGAAGCAAAGAUGGAGUGAGACGGAAGAUAAACUACAUCGGAAUGCAACACGCUUGGAAUCUGCUUUUGAUGUAAAACGGUUGUCUCCCUAGGGCCGUUGUUUAACUAAUGAUCUACAUUUUGAGAAAAGCAGGUAAAAAAUGAGGAACAUUGAAAAGGUGACCAAAUAGAUUAAGUGUAGAUGUAUGAUGUAAAGCUGUGGUCUACUUAGCCAUUCAUCAGCGCUGUUGGUAAAUGCCAGGCCAUCCAGAACACUAUACUUUCAGGAAAUGACUUUUGUGACCUCAAUGUAAAGGAUCCAGUAUCCACCAUUUACAUCAGCCUAAGGGAGGCAACUACGAUACCAGAAAGAGGAAUAUGACUCCCCCCCCUAAAUCCUUGAUAUGAAGGUCACAUUGGGUUUCUUUCUGGCAGGAUAUGGUAUUUGGUUGUCCGGCGAAUACCCGAAUCACAGACUGGAUGGUGAAAUGCUGGAGACACAAAAUGUGGACGAGAUCCGACAUGUCAUAAAUAAUCGUGGUUGUCUCCCUUUGACCGUUGUGACGAUCAUAUUAUGCAGUUUAAAGACAAGCAGGUACAAGUUGCAAUUACAAAAGGAGGGUACGUGGAUGAAGUGUAUCUCUUUGAACAUGCCUUCAACCAAAAGAUAUGCUAAUACGUGCAGACGGUCUAUAAUGUAACCCUGAUCUAGAAGUAACAAAGGGCUCUGUCUGGUAGGAUGUGAUCCUGUGAUGUCCAGGAAUUAUUAGAACAAAAGUAAAAUCUCUAAGUAAUUCAAUUAAGCCACACUUUUGCUUUAAACGAGUGUCUCUGUGGCAUUGAAGAUUGAAAAUUACAGUAAAUUACACAUGUGUUACAAAUGAUGGACACACGACAUCAAAAUGUGGACGAGAUUCGACAUGCAAAAUAUAAUCGUGGUUGCCUCCCUUUGACCGUUAUGAUGAUCAUAUUAUGCAGUUUAAGGACAAGCAGGAACUUGUUGCAGUAAACAAGAAAUGAGGAUCAAUGAGAAAGUAUUGGGAAGACAUAACACCAAAAUGUGAAAGACCUUGGCUCUGUCAAACCAGCAUCCCAGUUGUUUCAGUUGUAACGAGAAUGAUCAGCAGUUUGAUUGCAUCAAUAUUAGUAUAUAGACCCGUAUUUGCCAAGACAAUUCUUAAUUAAACACACUCAACUGAUUUUCUGGAUCGCUGAAGUUCUCCAUCUUAAUUUGUUCUUAUCUUUCAAACAAUAGUUUCCUGUUAUUAUCAGACGGUAGCCUAAUUGCUGCUUGUAUUUGUAUAGGUAUAAGUACUUAAACAUUUUCACACACCGAUCAUAUUCAACUAAGUGUAUAUGAAUUUUUAUGAUAUGAAUGCGAUUAAAACUUAAGUACAAAUGCUCUCUUUCAGGUAUGCUAAUACGUGCAGACGGUCUAUAAUUUAACCCUGAUCUAGAAUUUACAAAGGGCUCUGUCUUCCAGGAUGUGAUCCUGUGAUGUCCAGUAAUUAUUAGAACAAAAGUAAAAUCUCUUGGUAAUUCAUUUAAUCCACAAUUUUGCUUUAAACGAGUGUCUCUGUGGCAUUGAAGAUUGAAAUUACAGUAAAUUACACAUGUGUUACAAAUGAUGGAGACACGACAUCAAAAGGUGGACGAGAUUCGACAUGCAAAAUAUAAUCGUGGUUGCCUCCCUUUGACCGUUAUGAUGAUCAUAUUAUGCAGUUUAAGGACAAGCAGGAACUUGUUGCAGUAAACAAGAAAUGAGGAAGUUACCAAGUGGUCUGUCUGGUAGGAUGUGAUCCUGUGAUGUCCAGGAAUUAUUAGAACAACAGUAAAAUCUCUAGAUCAAUGAGAAAGUAUUGGGAAGACAUAACACCAAAAUGUUAAAGGCUUUGGCUCUGUCAAACCAGCAUCCCAGUUGUGUCAGAUGUAACGAGAAUGAUCAGCAGUUUGAUUGCAUCAAUAUGAGUAUCUAGUCACGUGUUUGCCAAGACAAUUCUUAACUAAACACACUCAACUGAUUUUCUGGAUAGUUGACGUUCUCCAUCUUAAUUUGUUCUUAUCUUUCAUACAAUACUUUCCUGUUAUUAUCAGACGGUAGCCAAAUUGCUGCUUGUAUUGGUAAAGGUAUAAGUACUUAAACAUUUUCACACAUCGUUAAUAUUCAACUAAGUGUAUAUGAAUUUUUAUGAUAUGAAUGCGAUUAAAACUUAAGUACAAAUGCUCUCUUUCAGAUAUGCUAAUACGUGCAGACGGUCUAUAAUGUAACCCUGAUCUAGAAGUUACAAAGGGUUCUGUCUGGUAGGAUGUGAUCCUGUGAUGUCCAGUAAUUAUUAGAACAAAAGUAAAAUCUCUUGGUAAUUCAUUUUAAUCACAGUUGUGCUUUAAACGACUGUCUCUGUGGCAUUAAAGAUUGAAAAUUACAGUAAAGUACACAUGUGUUACAAAUGAUGGAGACACGACAUCAAAAUGUGGACGAGAUUCGACGUGCAAAAUAUAAUCGUGGUUGCCUCCCUUUGACCGUUAUGAUGAUCAUAUUAUGCAGUUUAAGGACAAGCAGGAACUUGUUGCAGUAAACAAGAAAUGAGGAUCAAUGAGAAAGUAUUGGGAAGACAUAACACCAAAAUGAUAAAGGCUUUGGCUCUGUCAAACCAGCAUCCCAGUUGUGUCAGAUGUAACGAGAAUGAUCAGCAGUUUGAUUGAAUCAAUAUGUGUAUCUAGUAACGUGUUUGCCAAGACAAUUCUUAACUAAACACACUCAACUGAUUUUCUGGAUAGUUGACGUUCUCCAUCUUAAUUUGUUCUUAUCUUUCAUACAAUACUUUCCUGUUAUUAUCAGACGGUAGCCUAACUGCUGCUUGUAUUGGUAUAGGUAUAAGUACUUAAACAUUUUCACACAUCGUUCAUAUUCAACUAAGUGUAUAUGAAUUUUUAUGAUAUGAAUGCGAUUAAAACUUUAGUACAAAUGCUCUCUUUCAGGUAUGCUAAUACGUGCAGACGGUCUAUGAUGUAACCCUGAUCUAGAAUUUAUAAAUGGCUCUGUCUGGUAGGAUGUGAUCCUGUGAUGUCCAGUUAUUAUUAGAACAAAAGUAAAAUCUCUUGGUAAUUCAUUUUAAUCACAGUUGUGCUUUAAACGAGUGUCUCUGUGGCAUUAAAGAUUGAAAAUUACAGUAAAGUACACAUGUGUUACAAAUGAUUGACACACGACAUCAAAAUGUGGACGAGAUUCGACAUGCCAAAAUAAAUCGUGGUUGUCUCCCUUUGACCGAUGUGAUGGUCAUAUUAUGCAGUUUAAGGACAAACGGGAACUUGUUGCAUUAAAAAAAGGA
Mya arenaria is the source of this 3802-nucleotide long non-coding RNA. RefSeq lists it as uncharacterized. The transcript has 15 exons. The record is from RefSeq and is a predicted model, not a curated record. Lineage: Eukaryota; Metazoa; Mollusca; Bivalvia; Myida; Myidae.